RNAcentral lists this long non-coding RNA (1088 nucleotides) under Capra hircus (goat). Its description in RNAcentral is "lncRNA (ENSCHIG00010000104.1)". The record is from RNAcentral. Lineage: Eukaryota; Metazoa; Chordata; Mammalia; Artiodactyla; Bovidae.
GACAGCAACCCAAAAAAGUUCAGUCCAGUCUGAUAAUCAGUCUAGUCAGUGACAUAUUAAAACUAAAACACCAUUCCGCGUUGAAACUCCAUGCUCUGCUUUGUUUAGGCUAGCCUCUGGCCGGGAGGAGACUUGACCGGCCUCUUCUCUCUGCCCUCAGUCACUUUUCCUCCUCAGACAGUCACUCCUCUGUGGUCAAACCAUGGGAAGAGUAGUCUAGGAAUAAGAACAGUUUUGUGUGGCUGCCUCAGUUGUCCUCUGACCUUGGGGCUAUGGAGGCCCACACACAAUGCUGCUCUUUCUCUUUUAAGGGCCGCUGUGGGGAGUUUCUCAGACACCGCCCUCCACAGACUUUUCUAGAGCAGCUCCUUUAGCAUGAGAAGUCAGUGUCUCUCCUUCAGCUGUCUGUCCGCCGCUGUCCCUUCAGUGCCUGGCUUCCUGGUAGGCUGGUUCCUCCCUGUUGGGGUCCUGGUGCUCUCAGGUUGUUUAGGAGUUCUCUUUUAUUGGGACCACAGGUCAGCUCCGUCUGUGGGGAAAGACAUUCAGUCCUCAGGUAACAGGAAUGGCUAGUGGAUACCUGGACAGUGGAAAUGCAGGUCUCUCCCAACUCAACCUGACUUCUUGCUGCUUCGCUGCCUCAGCCUCAUCUAGCCAAGCCCUUACAGCUUUUAACUUUUCAAAGGUAGGUCAGACAUUCUUUCAUAGGUUCCUCAAGCUCCAGGGUGCCUGUGUCCCUUCUCAAGUGACUAAGCAGAGCGAGGGGGAGGCAAGCCUCUUCUCACCACAGUGGGUGGGAUGGGGGAAAGCCCAGAGCCUUCAGCUUAGCUCCCCAGAGAUGUCUUUUUCCUAUUUCUCCAUACUUUGAUGACUCCCCAAGGCACUUAUAGAUCUCUGAGGGGACUGAUGAACUAAAUACUACAAGAUCUGUUUUUAGACCUCCCCCUGCAGAUCCUGCUCAGGGGUCUAACAUCUCAAUAGGGAACAUGGAGCUUCUGAUAAAACGAGACUAAAGGAAUAGAAUACAUUACAUUUAAAUCCCUGUGGAAAAAUUCUGAGAGAGAUGGGAAUACCAGACCACCUAACCUGCC